This 468-nucleotide ribosomal RNA is filed under the name uncultured bacterium. Its description in RNAcentral is "partial 16S ribosomal RNA". It matches the Rfam family "Bacterial small subunit ribosomal RNA", at positions 31 to 507 of the family's 1533-position model. The record is from RNAcentral.
GAAGAAAGUUGGAGGCGUGCUUAACACAUGCAAGUCGAACGGAAAGGCCCUGCUUUUGUGGGGUGCUCGAGUGGCGAACGGGUGAGUAACACGUGAGUAACCUGCCCUUGACUUUGGGAUAACUUCAGGAAACUGGGGCUAAUACCGGAUAGGAGCUCCUGCUGCAUGGUGGGGGUUGGAAAGUUUCGGCGGUUGGGGAUGGACUCGCGGCUUAUCAGCUUGUUGGUGGGGUAGUGGCUUACCAAGGCUUUGACGGGUAGCCGGCCUGAGAGGGUGACCGGCCACAUUGGGACUGAGAUACGGCCCAGACUCCUACGGGAGGCAGCAGUGGGGAAUAUUGCACAAUGGGCGGAAGCCUGAUGCAGCAACGCCGCGUGCGGGAUGACGGCCUUCGGGUUGUAAACCGCUUUCGCCUGUGACGAAGCGUGAGUGACGGUAAUGGGUAAAGAAGCACCGGCUAACUACGUG